GACGAACGCUGGCGGCGUGCCUAAUACAUGCAAGUUGAGCGCUGAAGGUUGGUACUUGUACCAACUGGAUGAGCAGCGAACGGGUGAGUAACGCGUGGGGAAUCUGCCUUUGAGCGGGGGACAACAUUUGGAAACGAAUGCUAAUACCGCAUAAAAACUUUAAACACAAGUUUUAAGUUUGAAAGAUGCAAUUGCAUCACUCAAAGAUGAUCCCGCGUUGUAUUAGCUAGUUGGUGAGGUAAAGGCUCACCAAGGCGAUGAUACAUAGCCGACCUGAGAGGGUGAUCGGCCACAUUGGGACUGAGACACGGCCCAAACUCCUACGGGAGGCAGCAGUAGGGAAUCUUCGGCAAUGGACGAAAGUCUGACCGAGCAACGCCGCGUGAGUGAAGAAGGGUUUCGGAUCGUAAAACUCUGUUGGUAGAGAAGAACGUUGGUGAGAGUGGAAAGCUCAUCAAGUGACGGUAACUACCCAGAAAGGGACGGCUAACUAUGUG
This 497-nucleotide ribosomal RNA is filed under the name uncultured bacterium. RNAcentral's name for it is "partial 16S ribosomal RNA". It matches the Rfam family "Bacterial small subunit ribosomal RNA", at positions 28 to 507 of the family's 1533-position model. The record is from RNAcentral.